This 294-nucleotide long non-coding RNA is filed under the name Coffea arabica (coffee). RNAcentral describes it as "long non-coding RNA (CARA_LNC003268)". Lineage: Eukaryota; Viridiplantae; Streptophyta; Magnoliopsida; Gentianales; Rubiaceae. The record is from RNAcentral.
UCAAAAUGUCAAAAUACAGAAGUAAAAGUCUGCUGCUGAGAGCUAAAAAUGCGGAAUUGACCAGUCAGUGGUAUUUUUAUCAUAUCUAGGUCUAGACAGCUCUAAAUUGGAUGAUUCUUGAGGCAUUGGACAGCUAUUUCAAUGGGCUACAACUUCUAUGUUUUUCACAAGAGCUAAUUUAGCCGUCAUCAUAGAGAAAAUAGCAGUUGAAGUAGCCAGAUUCUGGUCAGAAAUAGCUGCUGGUACAACCUGUUUUCUCCUUCAACAAUUUACAGCUAUGGAUGAACGUAUGAC